ACUUACCGSUUAACAUCGAGUGUUAAAUAUGCUAGUCCUUUCAUGAUUAUGUGAUAGGUGGUGCAUGGCCGUUCUUAGUUCGUGGAGUGAUCUGUCUGCUUAAUUGCGUUUCACUAAGGGCCCAUAAAUUCAAGGUAUGUUAGCUCUCGUCGCUCUAUGGACCCCUUAACUCCAAUAUUCUUAUUGUGUUAAGCGCGUGUCUUUAUUUUAAGAGUUUUAAGACACUGCGCAUG
This 233-nucleotide ribosomal RNA is filed under the name Neogloboquadrina pachyderma. RNAcentral describes it as "partial small subunit ribosomal RNA". Lineage: Eukaryota; Foraminifera; Rotaliida; Globorotaliidae. The record is from RNAcentral.